CCAGCUACUCAGGAAGUUGAGGCAUGAGAAUCACUUGAACCCAGGAGGCAAAGGCUGCAGUGAGCCAAGAUGGCGCCACUGUACUCCAGCCUAGGAGACAGAACAAGACUCUGUCUCAAAAAAAUAAAUAAACUUAAAAAAAAAAAAAAAAAAACCAACAAGGCCGGGUGGGGUGGCUCACGCCUGUAAUCCCAGCACUUUGGGAGGCUGAGGUGGGUGGAUCACCUGAGGUCGGGAGUUCGAGACCAGCCUGACCAACAUGGAGAAACCCCAUCUCUACUAAAAAUACAAAAUUAGCAGGGCGUGGUGGCACAUGCCUGUAAUCCCAGCUACUCAGGAUGCUGAGGUUGGAGAAUCGCUUGAACCUGGGAGGCAGAGGUUGCAGUGAGCUGAGAAAGCGCCAUCACACUCCAGCCUGGGCAACAGGAGCGAAACUCUAUCUCAAAAAAAAAAAAUAAACCAACAAAAAAAUAUUGAGGCACAGAUGGUGGGCAGCCAGCUAAGAUGACCUGACGCGCCUUCCAGCUGAUUCAGGCUGCUUGCCUCAGACUCAGACACCGCCACCAUGGCCAGUGAGUCUCAGGGGAUCCAGCAGCUGCUGCAGGCUGAGAAAUGUGCCACUGAGAAGGUAUCCAAGGCCCAUGAGCAAAAGACCCAGAGGCUGAAGUAGAUCAAAGGAGCAGCUAAGGAUGAAACUUAACAGUACCACCUGCAGAGGGAGGAAGUGGUCCAGGCCAAGGAAGCCACAGCCCUGGAAUCCCAGUAGCUGCAGCACUCAAGUGGCGUAGGAAGCCCAGAAGAGGACCAGCCUCCAGACCUACUUCUGGCAGAACAAGGCUUGGAUAGCCUCUUGGCCACCGUCUGUGACACUGAGCAGAAAUCCAUGAAAACUACAGCAUAAAUGGAAAGGAGUGGGAGAAAGAAGUGCCUGUUCCAUGAACUGGCGUUUUAGAUGCCCUCAGGGAACAUAAAGCUUUGGCAAAGCUCAAGUUAUAUUCUUAUGAAGUAAAUAGGUCGGGUGCGGUGGCUCACAACUGUAUGUAAUCCCAGCACUUUGGGAGACCAGAGUGGGUGGAUCACGAGGGUCAGGAGUUAAAGACAAGCCUGGCCAAGAUGGUGAAACCCCGUCUUUACUAAAAAUACAAAAGUUAGCCAGGCAUGGUGGGCACCUGUAAUCCCAGCUACUUAGGAGGCUGAGGCAGAGAAUUGCUUGAACCUGGGAGGUGGAGGUUGCAGUGAGCCGAGAUUGCACCACUGCACUCCUGCCUGGGUGACAAAGCAAGACAUUACCUCAAAAAAAAAAAAAAAAAAGAAAAGAAAAGAAAAAGAAAAGGCAGUAAAUAGGUGGGGCAUGGUGGCUCAUGCCUGUAAUCCCAGCACUCUGGGAGGCCAAGGCGGGCGGAUCACAAGGUCAGGAGUUCGAGACCAGCCU
Molecule: long non-coding RNA, 1432 nt
Filed under: Homo sapiens (human)
Lineage: Eukaryota; Metazoa; Chordata; Mammalia; Primates; Hominidae
Description: HSALNT0096543
Rfam family: Metazoan signal recognition particle RNA (bases 163-279)
Source: RNAcentral